ACAUAACAAAUAAAAGAAAAAAACGUUUGGAUAAUAAAUCCAAAAUUGAAUAACUAUCCAUGAAAUUUACUCUCUUUUUUCACACGUUUAUAAGACGGAACAACCAAAGGUUUAAAAUAAAAGCCUAUAGAAUGUCGAACUUGUUACAGUACGUUUGAAAAUUGUGAGAUCAGUCAGAAUAUCCUCUACACAGUCAAGUUUCGUACUAAAAUUGUAACGAAUCAAUAUAUUCUUUAUUCUGCGUAUUAAGCAUAUAAAGAUGAAUUAAUUUGCCAAACGUUGCAAAUUGCAAUUAUAUUGUGAACAAUAAAUUAAACCAAAGCUAGAUAUUACUAGAAUAUUCU
This 344-nucleotide long non-coding RNA is filed under the name Nicotiana benthamiana. RNAcentral describes it as "long non-coding RNA (NBEN_LNC039491)". Lineage: Eukaryota; Viridiplantae; Streptophyta; Magnoliopsida; Solanales; Solanaceae. The record is from RNAcentral.